UCAGUGUAAAGUGUUCUAAGCUGAUGGCUUC
This 31-nucleotide non-coding RNA is filed under the name Homo sapiens (human). Lineage: Eukaryota; Metazoa; Chordata; Mammalia; Primates; Hominidae. The record is from RNAcentral.